This 163-nucleotide unclassified non-coding RNA is filed under the name uncultured Sordariales. Its description in RNAcentral is "sequence contains ITS2". Lineage: Eukaryota; Fungi; Ascomycota; Sordariomycetes; Sordariales. The record is from RNAcentral.
CAACACUCAAGCUCUGCUUGGCGUUGGGGCCCUAAGGCUUAGCCGCCGUAGGCCCUUAAAAUCAGUGGCGGGACCGCUGGGGACCCGGGCGAAGUAAUAACUACAGCGCCAAGGGAUAUCUAGCUGGUCUCCUGCCGUAAAACGAUUAUUUAAAAUCUCAGUG